UUUUCUUAACUGCUGCAGCCAGACCCUCCUGCCCCACCGCUCCGCCUCAGCUCUGCCCCCUGGUGGGGAAACACGGAGACCCGAGGAGAGGCCGCGGGGCCGUCCUGCACCACUGCACCCCCGGCAGGGGCAUCCAAGUGUCUCUGUGUCAUGAAUCUUUAAAAAAAAUCCACUUAAAGAAGGAAGAGGAGGAGGAGCAGAGAGUGGAACUGAUUUCAGGAGGCGGUUUACAGUGUCUUCAUUUCAAGGAAGAGGGACAGACUGCAGGUAGCUACAGGAGGCAAGAGAAGAAGGGGUCCUUUAGAUGGCGCCCUGGCGGCCAGUGGGGUGACAACGUGGUGACGUCACCCCCAGGGUGACGUCGAGACCAGGAACCGCCCGCCGUCAGGUGGUGUGUGGCAGCAGCGCUUGUGGCAAGAGCCCGGGGAACCUCGGGAGAGCCUGGGCCCUCAAAGGCAGCGCCUGCCGGGAUUUCUUGGGCAGGACGUCAUGUUGGGGACAGGGCUUGCUGUCCUGAGGUCAGGAAAAGGGGAUGACCUUUCUUAAACUCCAGCGGGAACCUGCGCUGGCUGGAAGGGUCAGAAGACGUCUCGCUAGGCCUCUGCAAGUGGAAUACACAGACACAUGCUAAGACUCAUUUCUGCUCUGAGGAUGACAGGGAGGUGCCUUUGUUCCUUUCUUUCACUUUAUUUAAUAAAGAAUGAGCUGACCACGCUUCAUA
Long non-coding RNA from Marmota monax (woodchuck), 721 nucleotides. RefSeq lists it as uncharacterized. NCBI's taxonomy places the organism in Eukaryota, Metazoa, Chordata, Mammalia, Rodentia, Sciuridae. The record is from RefSeq and is a predicted model, not a curated record. The transcript has 2 exons.